AGUUGCUGAUCUUUGCUUAUUUGUUCCAUAUCUAGAAUGGAAAUCAAUUCAGAGAAUACAAUCUUCAUUUGCUAUUGUUACUACGUCUAGUCAGCAAACAAUCUGUAAGUGAUUACGUUUUCCCCAUUUGCACGGAAAUGGAUGGAGUGCCGUAACAUAAUUCUGCUACAGUGGAUGGCAAGAUGAAAAACAGUUUUAGGUGGAAGAUGAACUGCAGUAGAACAGAAACACUGCUGCAGGAUCAUCUUCCGCCAACUUCCCUGUGGUUGCAAACAUGGAUGAAGGCAACAUAAUGUACCUCCUCCAGCUAGACUGCCUCUUCCCUCACUUACAGGACCACUAUUACAAAACGCCUGAAGACAAGCCAUUUCCCUGCCUUCACCACAUUCUUGGCUCUCCCCAGAAAAGAAGAAUGCCCUGCCACAAAAGUUUUCAGAUGCAAGUGCAAAAGAUUCACAACCACAUGUGAAAGAAAGAAGCAAGCUGGGGAGGUUUGAAAGACAUCCCAGCUUAGUCAGCAGACUUUUACUAUCUUGGCCACGGAGAGUGAAAAGUGACUGCAGUGCUCAGAAUACCGACCUCAGUCUCAGGAGUAGUCAGUCAAAAUGUAGAUUCACAGCCAAGGAACAUAUUGUUUUUGGAAGGCCACCUGCUGGGACUGCAAGAGUUUUGAAGGUGUCAUUGGAGACCACAAGUCUCUUGCCCAGCUGGCUUUGGGACUCAAGAACAUCCUCUGACUUUCCUGCAAUGCCUUAUUACUUUCUCUCACCCAGCCACAGAGAAAGAAAAUUAUUCAUUCUCCCCUCCCUCAACUGGCUACUAGUCAGAAGUUAGAAACGGGCUGCAGGCAGAAGCCUGUGAGGGAGAGACAUGCUUGAUUUCUGCUGUAAUCCAAGGCAUCAGCGGCUAUGGGAAAAGCAAGACCCUCUGGGGGUGUUAAUACUAUGAGCCUCUCCGUCAUAGGCUCAGGUUGUUUAUAUGUGUAAAUAAACCAUAUAUCAUAAACACA
Long non-coding RNA from Podarcis raffonei (Aeolian wall lizard), 1009 nucleotides. RefSeq lists it as uncharacterized. The record is from RefSeq and is a predicted model, not a curated record. The transcript is spliced from 3 exons. NCBI's taxonomy places the organism in Eukaryota, Metazoa, Chordata, Lepidosauria, Squamata, Lacertidae.